This 3564-nucleotide long non-coding RNA is filed under the name Homo sapiens (human). RNAcentral describes it as "HSALNT0397478". Lineage: Eukaryota; Metazoa; Chordata; Mammalia; Primates; Hominidae. The record is from RNAcentral.
UGGGGCGGGGGUAAUGCGCACGCGUGUGCGUGUGGGCCAGCACGUCCGGGUGGUCAGGACGCGCGCUUGUGCGCAUGUCCCCGCGCAGGGUCGGGCGCUGGGGUGUGGAGACUGAACCUUGCAGACACCCGGGUCCGCACGUCUGGGAUGGACGUGAGACAGUCUCGCUAUAUUACCCAGGCUGGAGUGCAGUGUCAAGAUCUCGACUCACUGCAGCCUUGAACUCCUGGGCUCAAGUGAUCCUCCCACAGUGCUGGGAUUACAGGCGUGAGCCACCGCACCCGGCCUCUAGUUCUGUCUUUUUGCUCAGUAUUAGAAUUCGUAAGUUCUGGCCCCAGCAACUCGUCCUUUCAUCUGUCUCAAGUUGCACUGUGGUGGUCACAGGAGCUGUCCUGCACCUUGCACAUGUGGCCAUGAACAAGACUCGCUCCUUGCUCUCAUGGGGCCUUCAUUCCAGUGAGACACAAAUGCAAACACAAAAUUCCAGAAGAGUGCUGAGUGCUAUCAUGAGAAACGAAGACAGGCUGGAAGAUGGGCUCUGACCCCAGAAAACCGAUGGAGAGGCCCAAGCAGCCUUGGGAGCAACAGGCAAGUUGGAGGACACACGGCAAGGCUACUUGGAAGUAGGGGAGGGUGCAUGGGAAACCCUGAGGCUGUGGGGGGAGAGGCAGGAGCCAGGUGAAGUCCAGGUAGAUGGCAGUGGAGAUGUAAGAACAUGGUGGAAUUUUUUUGUUUUUGAGACGGAGUCUUGCUCUGUCCCCCAGGGUGGAGUGCAAUGGUGAGAUCUCAACUCACUGCAACUUCCGCCUCCCAGGUUCAAGCGAUUCUCUGGGAUUAUAGGCACCUGCCACCAUGCCCAGCUAAUUUUUGUAUUUUUUAGUAGAGAUGGGUUUUCACCAUGUUGGUCAGGCUAGUCUCGAACUCCUGACCGCGGGUGAUCCGCCCGCCUCAGCUUCCCAAAGUGCUGGGAUUACAGGCGUGAGCCACCGCGCCUGGCCAGAACAUGGUGGAAUUUGAGUGUGCUUGGGAAUACACUUAUAGGACUUGCUGAUUAGUUGAAUGAGGAAAUAAAAGAACGAAGAAUAUCUUCUGGGAUUUCAGCCUGAGCAACUGGGUUGCUGGUGGAUGGUGGUUCUCUUAUCAAGGAUGGGAAAGAUGGGUUGUCUCCCCUAAAAUACUGAGUUUUAAAGGCAGGGACUGUAUCUUUGCAGUCCUGGCUCCUAGCAAGGGCCUAGCCCUUAUAUGACAUUCGUGAAUGUUGAAAUGAAUGUGACACGCCUGAAACAAUCCUUCUCCCUCACCUAGGCCCACAUCUCCAAGUCAAUAUUCCAGUACAAGCCACAUCCAGUCCCCUCACUGACACACACAGGCCUGGGCCCAGGAGCUCACCCCUGUGCUGUAAGGCUAGGUGCAUGUGUUAUUUCCAGAGUCUACCCUUGGAGGUGCCUCAGACUCCUGGGUACCUGUCGCUGGGAGGUAGCCAGUCAUGCUGUCCACAUACAUGCUUUUGGGCAGUAGAGAAGCUGAUCAUUGGGAAGGUUUAUUUCCUGUCUCCACAACAGGAGGCAGGUCACAGCAGUGGCCACACAGUGCACAAAAGGCCAUCCCCUCACAGCCGCAUGGUUGGCAUGCAGCAUCUCAGCCUCCAAACUGGAAGCCCCCUAUCCAAGGAGCCCCCAGGUGGGAGAGGAAGGUCACAAGCCUCCCAAGUACCUCAAGAUGCCUGCGCAUCCUCCCCCAUUUCUCAGAUGGGCCAAGGCCUGUGAAGCCCUUGCAGUAGUAGCUCAGGUGUAGCAUCUGCUCAGCUUCCCUCCCCACUCAUUUGCACACAGCCAGAGCUGCGGGACUUCUGCCCUCUGGCCUCCAGCACUGCUGUGAAUCAGAACUAGUCAAGAGAACUGGGUGCUUGUGUUAAAUGGGAACACUCUGGAAUAAAAUAUGGGCUUUUUUAAAGAGAUGGGGUCUCACUAUGUUGCCCAGGCUGGUCUUGAACUCCUGGCCUCAAGCAAUCCUCCCAGGUCAGCCUCCCAAAUUGCUGGGAUUACAGGCGUGAGCCAGCACACCCAGCCCCUGCUAGCUUUUUAAUAUGAACUUCCAGUGUAUUCUUGAGCACUCUCAGGCAACAUGGCCGUUACCGAGCAACUUUGUCCUGAGGUGCAUUUGGAAGGCUCUGGGACUUGGUCCCCAUGCUCAACUUCAGGGCACCUUGGCAGAAAGAAGAGUGGUUCCUACACCAGCAGCUUAUAUAUUAAUGCCCACAUUACUCCAUUUUCUUCAGGUCGUCAAAAAAGGUUCCACUGAGGUGCUGUCUUUCUGUAAAUGAAAAUGAGCUGAAAUGCUCCUGUGACCUGCCCUCCAUUUGUGGGUCUCAUGAUACUAUCUUUCUUCUGCUUAACACGAUGGCAUCAUCCAGUGAGACAGGUCCUGUUUUUGUUUUUUUCUUUUUUUCUUUUUCUUUUUUGAGACAGAGUCUCACUCUGUUGCCCAGGCUGGAGUGCAGUGGAGCAGUCUUGGCUCACUGCAACCUCUGCCUCCCGGGUGCAAGCAGUUCUCCUGCCUCAGCCUUCCAAGCAGCUGGGAUUACAGGUACCUGCGACCAUACCACCUAAUUUUUUGUAUUUUUAGUAGAGAUGGGGUUUCGCCAUGUUGGGCAGGCUGGUCUUGAACUCCUGACCUCAUGAUCUACUGUCUCAGCCUCUCAAAGUGGUGGGAUUAUAGGCGUGAGCCACAGUGCCUGGCUUUUUUUUUUUUUUGGAGACAGCCCCAUCGUUCUGUCGCCAGGCUGGAGUGCAGUGGUGCGAUCUCGGCUCACUGCAACCUCUGACUUCCUGGUUCAAGCGAUUCUUCUGCCUAAGCCUCCUGAGUAGCUGGGAUUACAGGCACACGCCACCAUGCCCGACUAAUUUUUGUAUUCUUAGUAGAGAUGGGGUUUCACCAUGUUGGCCAGGAUGGUCUCGAUCUCCCGGCCUUGUGGUCCACCUGCCUCAGCCACCUACAGUUCUGGGAUUACAGGUGUGAGCCACUGCGGCCGGCAGAGACAGGUCCUUCUUAUCCCUGUAAGGCACAGUAUCUCUGCCAUAGAUUGGGUCCCUGGUUUGGGAAGAGGGUAAAACAAGCCCUCAUUCUUGGGUCUCGUCAUUGGACAAGCUGGCUGGGCAAGUCACAGCAUCCACAUUUGGUGGAACAUGGGUGUUGGUAGACCCCAACCCAGAGAGCUUGCACCCUUGCAGAGGACGUCUCCUUCACUACUGCACUGGCUCCCCCUGCACAGGGGCCUAAACCAGCUUGGGCCUUAGGGAAGCCAAUAGGGGAGGCGUAGCUGCUUGUUCUCCCUCCUGCCCAUCCACUUCAGCUCACCGUAAUAUCCCAAGUGGUCUUCCCCUUGCUAGAAUCAGAGGACAGGCUGACCUAAAAACCAACUCAGUAUGCAGCUUUUCAAAGCAAUGAGUCAGGCAGGGCUUUUGACAUAAUGUCCUCUGCAGUUCAUUUUAAACAAGGAUACAAAGUAUUAUUAAAUGUAUAUUUUUAAUAAAGCCAAUAGUUAUUUUACUUAUAGGAGCUUUA